RNAcentral lists this ribosomal RNA (278 nucleotides) under uncultured prokaryote. RNAcentral's name for it is "partial 16S ribosomal RNA". It matches the Rfam family "Bacterial small subunit ribosomal RNA", at positions 524 to 801 of the family's 1533-position model. The record is from RNAcentral.
UACGUAGGCGGCGGGCGUUGUCCGGAUUUACUGGGCGUAAAGGAUGCGUAGGUGGAAAUUUAAGUGGGAUGUGAAAUCCCCGGGCUCAACCCGGGAACUGCAUUCCAAACUGGAUUUCUUGAGUACAGGAGAGGAAAGCGGAAUUCCUAGUGUAGCGGUGAAAUGCGUAGAUAUUAGGAGGAACACCAGUGGCGAAGGCGGCUUUCUGGACUGUAACUGACACUGAGGCAUGAAAGCGUGGGUAGCAAACAGGAUUAGAUACCCUGGUAGUCCCUGAG